Molecule: ribosomal RNA, 460 nt
Filed under: uncultured bacterium
Lineage: Bacteria
Description: partial 16S ribosomal RNA
Rfam family: Bacterial small subunit ribosomal RNA
Source: RNAcentral
CCUACGGGAGGCAGCAGUGAGGAAUAUUGGUCAAUGGACGCAAGUCUGAACCAGCCAUGCCGCGUGCAGGAAGACGGCUCUAUGAGUUGUACACUGCUUUUGUACGAGGGUAAACGCAGAUACGCGUAUCUGUCUGAAAGUAUCGUACGAAUAAGUCUCGGCUUACUCCGUUCCAGCAGCCGCGGUAAUAAGGAGGAUUCAAGCGUUAUCCGGAUUUAUUGGGUUUAAAGGGUGCUUAGGCGGUCGGAUAAGUUAGAGGUGAAAUCCCGAGGCUCAACUUCGGAAUUGCCUCGGAUACUGUUCGGCUAGAGAGUAGUUGCGGUAGGCGGAAUGUAUGGUGUAGCGGUGAAAUGCUUAGAGAUCAUACAGAACACCGAUUGCGAAGGCAGCUUACCAAGCUACUUCUGACGUUGAGGCACGAAAGCGUGGGGAGCAAACAGGAUUAGAUACCCUAGUAGGC